This 251-nucleotide ribosomal RNA is filed under the name uncultured prokaryote. RNAcentral's name for it is "partial 16S rRNA". It matches the Rfam family "Archaeal small subunit ribosomal RNA", at positions 475 to 726 of the family's 1478-position model. The record is from RNAcentral.
ACCGGCAGCUCAAGUGGUGGCCAUUUUAUUUGGCCCUAAACGGUCGGAGCCGGGUUGAUUAAUCUCCGGUGGAAUCCCGCCGCUUUACUGGUGGGACUGCUGGAGAUACUAUUAGACUUGAGGUCGGGAGAGGUUAGGGGUACUCCCAGGGUAGGGGUGAAAUCCUAUAAUCCUGGGAGGACCACCUGUGGCGAAGGCGCCUAACUGGAACGAACCUGACGGUGAGUAACGAAAGCCAGGGGCGCGAACCG